This 485-nucleotide ribosomal RNA is filed under the name uncultured bacterium. RNAcentral describes it as "partial 16S ribosomal RNA". It matches the Rfam family "Bacterial small subunit ribosomal RNA", at positions 30 to 507 of the family's 1533-position model. The record is from RNAcentral.
AUUGAACGCUGGCGGCAUGCCUUACACAUGCAAGUCGAACGGCAGCACGGGUGCUUGCACCUGGUGGCGAGUGGCGAACGGGUGAGUAAUACAUCGGAACAUGUCCUGUAGUGGGGGAUAGCCCGGCGAAAGCCGGAUUAAUACCGCAUACGAUCCACGGAUGAAAGCGGGGGCCCUUCGGCCUUGCGCCAAUUGGUUGGGCCAAGGCUGAUUAGCUAGUUGGUGGGGUAAAGGGCUACCAAGGCGACGAUCAGUAGCUGGUCUGAGAGGACGACCAGCCACACUGGGACUGAGACACGGCCCAGACUCCUACGGGAGGCAGCAGUGUGGAAUUUUGGACAAAGGGCGAAAGCCUGAUCCAGCAAUGCCGCGUGUGUGAAGAAGGCCUUCGGGUUGUAAAGCACUUUUGUCCGGAAAGAAAUCCUUGACUCUAAUACAGUCGGGGGAUGACGGUACCGGAAGAAUAAGCACCGGCUAACUACGUG